This 253-nucleotide ribosomal RNA is filed under the name uncultured bacterium. RNAcentral's name for it is "partial 16S ribosomal RNA". It matches the Rfam family "Bacterial small subunit ribosomal RNA", at positions 524 to 776 of the family's 1533-position model. The record is from RNAcentral.
UACGAAGGGGGCUAGCGUUGCUCGGAAUCACUGGGCGUAAAGCGCACGUAGGCGGAUUGUUAAGUCAGGGGUGAAAUCCUGGAGCUCAACUCCAGAACUGCCUUUGAUACUGGCGAUCUCGAGUCCGGGAGAGGUGAGUGGAAUUGCGAGUGUAGAGGUGAAAUUCGUAGAUAUUCGCAAGAACACCAGUGGCGAAGGCGGCUCACUGGCCCGGAACUGACGCUGAGACGCGAAAGCGUGGGGAGCAAACAGG